Long non-coding RNA from Alosa sapidissima (American shad), 197 nucleotides. RefSeq lists it as uncharacterized. The transcript has 3 exons. The record is from RefSeq and is a predicted model, not a curated record. Lineage: Eukaryota; Metazoa; Chordata; Actinopteri; Clupeiformes; Clupeidae.
UGUCACUGAUGUUUCUGUUCUCUGUAGUCUCAAGACCAUCUCUCCACUCCGUUACAUAUUCCAUAUGUACAGGGAAUGACCCCCCACCUGCUAAGGACCGUGGAUAGGCUUUAAGACACACCGGCUCGCCCGGACACGCCCAACCUGAACCUAUAAAACACCUGUGUUGGCGUGUAAUCACUGAUUGUUUGAUCUCC